This 1369-nucleotide ribosomal RNA is filed under the name uncultured bacterium. Its description in RNAcentral is "bacterial SSU rRNA". It matches the Rfam family "Bacterial small subunit ribosomal RNA", at positions 28 to 1381 of the family's 1533-position model. The record is from RNAcentral.
GAUGAACGCUGGCGGCGUGCCUAAUACAUGCAAGUCGAGCGAACGGACGAGAAGCUUGCUUCUCUGAUGUUAGCGGCGGACGGGUGAGUAACACGUGGAUAACCUACCUAUAAGACUGGGAUAACUUCGGGAAACCGGAGCUAAUACCGGAUAAUAUUUUGAACCGCAUGGUUCAAAAGUGAAAGACGGUCUUGCUGUCACUUAUAGAUGGAUCCGCGCUGCAUUAGCUAGUUGGUAAGGUAACGGCUUACCAAGGCAACGAUGCAUAGCCGACCUGAGAGGGUGAUCGGCCACACUGGAACUGAGACACGGUCCAGACUCCUACGGGAGGCAGCAGUAGGGAAUCUUCCGNCAUGGGCGAAAGCCUGACGGAGCAACGCCGCGUGAGUGAUGAAGGUCUUCGGAUCGUAAAACUCUGUUAUUAGGGAAGAACAUAUGUGUAAGUAACUGUGCACAUCUUGACGGUACCCUAUCAGAAAGCCACGGCUAACUACGUGCCAGCAGCCGCGGGUAUACGUAGGUGGCAAGCGUUAUCCGGAAUUAUUGGGCGUAAGCGCGCGUAGCGGUUUUUCAGUCUGAUGUGAAAGCCCACGGCUCAACCGUGGAGGGUCAUUGGAAACUGGAAAACUUGAGUGCAGAAGAGGAAAGUGGAACUCCAUGUGUAGCGGUGAAAUGCGCAGAGAUAUGGAGGAACACCAGUGGCGAAGGCGACUUUCUGGUCUGUAACUGACGCUGAUGUGCGAAAGCGUGGGGAUCAAACAGGAUUAGAUACCCUGGUAGUCCACGCCGUAAACGAUGAGUGCUAAGUGUUAGGGGGUUUCCGCCCCUUAGUGCUGCAGCUAACGCAUUAAGCACUCCGCCUGGGGAGUACGACCGCAAGGUUGAAACUCAAAGGAAUUGACGGGGACCCGCACAAGCGGUGGAGCAUGUGGUUUAAUUCGAAGCAACGCGAAGAACCUUACCAAAUCUUGACAUCCUUUGACAACUCUAGAGAUAGAGCCUUCCUCUUCGGGGGACAAAGUGACAGGUGGUGCAUGGUUGUCGUCAGCUCGUGUCGUGAGAUGUUGGGUUAAGUCCCGCAACGAGCGCAACCCUUAAGCUUAGUUGCCAUCAUUAAGUUGGGCACUCUAAGUUGACUGCCGGUGACAAACCGGAGGAAGGUGGGGAUGACGUCAAAUCAUCAUGCCUCUUAUGAUUUGGGCUACACACGUGCUACAAUGGACAAUACAAAGGGCAGCGAAACCGCGAGGUCAAGCAAAUCCCAUAAAGUUGUUCUCAGUUCGGAUUGUAGUCUGCAACUCGACUACAUGAAGCUGGAAUCGCUAGUAAUCGUAGAUCAGCAUGCUACGGUGAAUACGUUCCCGGGUCU